This 484-nucleotide ribosomal RNA is filed under the name uncultured bacterium. RNAcentral describes it as "partial 16S ribosomal RNA". It matches the Rfam family "Bacterial small subunit ribosomal RNA", at positions 30 to 507 of the family's 1533-position model. The record is from RNAcentral.
AUUGAACGCUGGCGGCAGGCCUAACACAUGCAAGUCGAGCGGAUGAAGGGAGCUUGCUCCUGGAUUCAGCGGCGGACGGGUGAGUAAUGCCUAGGAAUCUGCCUGGUAGUGGGGGAUAACGUCCGGAAACGGGCGCUAAUACCGCAUACGUCCUGAGGUAGAAAGUGGGGGAUCUUCGGACCUCACGCUAUCAGAUGAGCCUAGGUCGGAUUAGCUAGUUGGUGGGGUAAAGGCCUACCAAGGCGACGAUCCGUAACUGGUCUGAGAGGAUGAUCAGUCACACUGGAACUGAGACACGGUCCAGACUCCUACGGGAGGCAGCAGUGGGGAAUAUUGGACAAUGGGCGAAAGCCUGAUCCAGCCAUGCCGCGUGUGUGAAGAAGGUCUUCGGAUUGUAAAGCACUUUAAGUUGGGAGGAAGAGCAGUAAGUUAAUACCUUGCUGUUUUGACGUUACCAACAGAAUAAGCACCGGCUAACUUCGUG